UGGCGGCAUGCCUUACACAUGCAAGUCGAACGGCAGCACGGGAGCUUGCUCCUGGUGGCGAGUGGCGAACGGGUGAGUAAUAUAUCGGAACGUGCCCUAGAGUGGGGGAUAACUAGUCGAAAGAUUAGCUAAUACCGCAUACGAUCUACGGAUGAAAGUGGGGGAUCGCAAGACCUCAUGCUCAUGGAGCGGCCGAUAUCUGAUUAGCUAGUUGGUGGGGUAAAAGCUCACCAAGGCGACGAUCAGUAGCUGGUCUGAGAGGACGACCAGCCACACUGGAACUGAGACACGGUCCAGACUCCUACGGGAGGCAGCAGUGGGGAAUUUUGGACAAUGGGCGCAAGCCUGAUCCAGCAAUGCCGCGUGAGUGAAGAAGGCCUUCGGGUUGUAAAGCUCUUUUGUCAGGGAAGAAACGGUCUUGGUUAAUACCUGGGGCUAAUGACGGUACCUGAAGAAUAAGCACCGGCUAACUACGUGCCAGCAGCCGCGGUAAUACGUAGGGUGCAAGCGUUAAUCGGAAUUACUGGGCGUAAAGCGUGCGCAGGCGGUUAUACAAGACAGAUGUGAAAUCCCCGGGCUCAACCUGGGAAUUGCAUUUGUGACUGUAUGGCUAGAGUGUGUCAGAGGGGGGUAGAAUUCCACGUGUAGCAGUGAAAUGCGUAGAUAUGUGGAGGAAUACCGAUGGCGAAGGCAGCCCCCUGGGAUAACACUGACGCUCAUGCACGAAAGCGUGGGGAGCAAACAGGAUUAGAUACCCUGGUAGUCCACGCCCUAAACGAUGUCUACUAGUUGUCGGGUCUUAAUUGACUUGGUAACGCAGCUAACGCGUGAAGUAGACCGCCUGGGGAGUACGGUCGCAAGAUUAAAACUCAAAGGAAUUGACGGGGACCCGCACAAGCGGUGGAUGAUGUGGAUUAAUUCGAUGCAACGCGAAAAACCUUACCUACCCUUGACAUGUACGGAAUCCUGAAGAGAUUUAGGAGUGCUCGAAAGAGAACCGUAACACAGGUGCUGCAUGGCUGUCGUCAGCUCGUGUCGUGAGAUGUUGGGUUAAGUCCCGCAACGAGCGCAACCCUUGUCAUUAGUUGCUACGAAAGGGCACUCUAAUGAGACUGCCGGUGACAAACCGGAGGAAGGUGGGGAUGACGUCAAGUCCUCAUGGCCCUUAUGGGUAGGGCUUCACACGUCAUACAAUGGUACAUACAGAGGGCCGCCAACCCGCGAGGGGGAGCUAAUCCCAGAAAGUGUAUCGUAGUCCGGAUUGGAGUCUGCAACUCGACUCCAUGAAGUUGGAAUCGCUAGUAAUCGCGGAUCAGCAUGUCGCGGUGAAUACGUUCCCGGGUCUUGUACACACCGCCCGUCACACCAUGGGAGCGGGUUCUGCCAGAAGUAGUUAGCCUAACCGCAAGGAGGGCGAUUACCACGGCAGGGUUCGUGACUGGGGUGAAGUCGUAACAAGGUAGCCGUAUCGGAAGGUG
This 1478-nucleotide ribosomal RNA is filed under the name Herbaspirillum hiltneri. RNAcentral's name for it is "bacterial SSU rRNA". It matches the Rfam family "Bacterial small subunit ribosomal RNA". RNAcentral also lists the same sequence under 1 other name. The record is from RNAcentral. Lineage: Bacteria; Pseudomonadati; Pseudomonadota; Betaproteobacteria; Burkholderiales; Oxalobacteraceae.